RNAcentral lists this ribosomal RNA (1561 nucleotides) under Streptococcus salivarius. Its description in RNAcentral is "bacterial SSU rRNA". It matches the Rfam family "Bacterial small subunit ribosomal RNA". The record is from RNAcentral. Lineage: Bacteria; Bacillati; Bacillota; Bacilli; Lactobacillales; Streptococcaceae.
UAUUAAAAUUUUUAAUGAGAGUUUGAUCCUGGCUCAGGACGAACGCUGGCGGCGUGCCUAAUACAUGCAAGUAGAACGCUGAAGAGAGGAGCUUGCUCUUCUUGGAUGAGUUGCGAACGGGUGAGUAACGCGUAGGUAACCUGCCUUGUAGCGGGGGAUAACUAUUGGAAACGAUAGCUAAUACCGCAUAACAAUGGAUGACACAUGUCAUUUAUUUGAAAGGGGCAAUUGCUCCACUACAAGAUGGACCUGCGUUGUAUUAGCUAGUAGGUGAGGUAACGGCUCACCUAGGCGACGAUACAUAGCCGACCUGAGAGGGUGAUCGGCCACACUGGGACUGAGACACGGCCCAGACUCCUACGGGAGGCAGCAGUAGGGAAUCUUCGGCAAUGGGGGCAACCCUGACCGAGCAACGCCGCGUGAGUGAAGAAGGUUUUCGGAUCGUAAAGCUCUGUUGUAAGUCAAGAACGAGUGUGAGAGUGGAAAGUUCACACUGUGACGGUAGCUUACCAGAAAGGGACGGCUAACUACGUGCCAGCAGCCGCGGUAAUACGUAGGUCCCGAGCGUUGUCCGGAUUUAUUGGGCGUAAAGCGAGCGCAGGCGGUUUGAUAAGUCUGAAGUUAAAGGCUGUGGCUCAACCAUAGUUCGCUUUGGAAACUGUCAAACUUGAGUGCAGAAGGGGAGAGUGGAAUUCCAUGUGUAGCGGUGAAAUGCGUAGAUAUAUGGAGGAACACCGGUGGCGAAAGCGGCUCUCUGGUCUGUAACUGACGCUGAGGCUCGAAAGCGUGGGGAGCGAACAGGAUUAGAUACCCUGGUAGUCCACGCCGUAAACGAUGAGUGCUAGGUGUUGGAUCCUUUCCGGGAUUCAGUGCCGCAGCUAACGCAUUAAGCACUCCGCCUGGGGAGUACGACCGCAAGGUUGAAACUCAAAGGAAUUGACGGGGGCCCGCACAAGCGGUGGAGCAUGUGGUUUAAUUCGAAGCAACGCGAAGAACCUUACCAGGUCUUGACAUCCCGAUGCUAUUUCUAGAGAUAGAAAGUUACUUCGGUACAUCGGUGACAGGUGGUGCAUGGUUGUCGUCAGCUCGUGUCGUGAGAUGUUGGGUUAAGUCCCGCAACGAGCGCAACCCCUAUUGUUAGUUGCCAUCAUUCAGUUGGGCACUCUAGCGAGACUGCCGGUAAUAAACCGGAGGAAGGUGGGGAUGACGUCAAAUCAUCAUGCCCCUUAUGACCUGGGCUACACACGUGCUACAAUGGUUGGUACAACGAGUUGCGAGUCGGUGACGGCAAGCUAAUCUCUUAAAGCCAAUCUCAGUUCGGAUUGUAGGCUGCAACUCGCCUACAUGAAGUCGGAAUCGCUAGUAAUCGCGGAUCAGCACGCCGCGGUGAAUACGUUCCCGGGCCUUGUACACACCGCCCGUCACACCACGAGAGUUUGUAACACCCGAAGUCGGUGAGGUAACCUUUUGGAGCCAGCCGCCUAAGGUGGGAUAGAUGAUUGGGGUGAAGUCGUAACAAGGUAGCCGUAUCGGAAGGUGCGGCUGGAUCACCUCCUUUCUA